CGAGCGAAGCGGGAAGAGCUCAAAUUUAUAAUCUGGCACCUUCGGUGUCCGAGUUGUAAUCUCUAGAAGUGUUUUCCGCGUUGGACCGCGCAUAAGUCUGUUGGAAUACAGCGGCACAGUGGUGAGACCCCCGUAUGUGGUGCGGACGCCCAGCGCUUUGUGAUACACUUUCGAAGAGUCGAGUUGUUUGGGAAUGCAGCUCAAAUUGGGUGGUAAAUUCCAUCUAAAGCUAAAUAUUGGCGAGAGACCGAUAGCGAACAAGUACCGUGAGGGAAAGAUGAAAAGCACUUUGGAAAGAGAGUUAACAGUACGUGAAAUUGUUGGAAGGGAAACGCUUGAAGUCAGACUUGCUUGCCGGGCAACCGGUUUGCAGGCCAGCAUCAGUUUUCCGGGGUGGAUAAUGGUAGAGAGAAGGUAGCAGUUUCGGCUGUGUUAUAGCUCUCUACUGGAUACACCUUGGGGGACUGAGGAACGCAGUGUGCCUUACGGCGGAGGUUUCGACCUCUUCACACUUAGG
Molecule: ribosomal RNA, 517 nt
Filed under: Rhodotorula sphaerocarpa
Lineage: Eukaryota; Fungi; Basidiomycota; Microbotryomycetes; Sporidiobolales; Sporidiobolaceae
Description: LSU rRNA
Rfam family: Eukaryotic large subunit ribosomal RNA
Source: RNAcentral